UACGUAGGGGGCAAGCGUUGUCCGGAUUUAUUGGGCGUAAAGAGCGUGUAGGCGGUUUGGUAGGUCCGCUGUGAAAACUCGAGGCUCAACCUCGAGACGUCGGUUGAAACCGUACGGCUAGAGUCCGGAAGAGGAGAGUGGAAUUCCCGGUGUAGCGGUGAAAUGCGCAGAUAUCAGGAAGAACACCCGUGGCUAAGGCGGCUCUCUAGUACGGUACUGACGCUGAGACGCGAAAGCGUGGGGAGCGAACAGG
Molecule: ribosomal RNA, 253 nt
Filed under: uncultured bacterium
Lineage: Bacteria
Description: partial 16S ribosomal RNA
Rfam family: Bacterial small subunit ribosomal RNA
Source: RNAcentral